Molecule: long non-coding RNA, 2045 nt
Filed under: Phascolarctos cinereus (koala)
Lineage: Eukaryota; Metazoa; Chordata; Mammalia; Diprotodontia; Phascolarctidae
Description: lncRNA (ENSPCIG00000029033.2)
Source: RNAcentral
GUGGCCUCAAACUCAGGCCAGUGCUCGCAGAGUUGGGCCAAGACUUUAGUGAGCAUGUAUGGAGUUAGAGAUCCUAUCAUGUGCCCCUCCCACACACAGGGAUUCAGGAGCUGAGCCUGGGAGACCAAGAUGCCCCAUCCAACUUCUACCAGUGAGUUCUAAGACCUUGGACCUUAGGAAGCCCGGGAGGGACCGGCCCCAGGAGCAUAAGGGGGUUCAGUUUCCCAGGAAGCCAUCCUGGGUAGCUCCUCAGGGUAUUCUCCCCACUGCUGCAACUCAGGGCAGCUGCUGGAGGUGGGUAGGUGGGAGGCAGCUUCGAAAGCCUGGGUCCUAGAUGGGGGUGUCACCCUCCAGCUACCACAGUAAUGCCUUGAGUGUCUGCCAAGUUCCCCUGUGGAUAGUCAGGAAUGUUUCCCCUUUCCCAGGGCAUCCGUUCAUCAGAGGCUUGGGAUCUCUCUCACCAGACCUGGGAACAGUGAACUGGAAGAGAGACCAGCUUCUCCAAAGUCCCUGAACCUCCCUGCCUUGGAAUCAACGUCAAGAGACGGUGGUUCCCCCCUCACUGUGGAAAGUGACAUGGACCUCACGGCCAAUCUGCUGCCCUCUGGUGGGAUGCACUCCCAUCAGCUCACCUUUCGGACCCCAGUUACUGAGAGCAUUCUUGGCCCACAUUUGCCCAAUCCCUCACUUCCUGGGAGCCCUACUUCACAGGCCCAGGAUAAGGAAGAGGUCAGCUCAUGCCCCUUUGGGUCUAAGGCCCUGAGCCUCACAUCUACUUUACCCUUCAGCUUGGGUACCAGCCGGUCCAUCUUCUUGGAACCCCAGAAGCCGUUGAGGGGAGACCCUGCACCUGAGAAAUGCUGGGGUCAGGCACACCUGUGGGCAGGGACUCCCAGUCUGAACACAAACUCUAGACUAGGUCCUGUGCCUACCACUCUGCCCUGGGUUCGGGAUAAACCCUGGACCUUGCCUACUGACUCCUCUAUGUUGCAGAGGGAGAUACCUGAGGCUCCUAGGGCCCCUUCCAUUCCUGUGGAAAUGAUGGUCAGCAAAGAUCCAACAGGAAUAACCCCUAGGGGGCAGGGAGAGCCCUUGGACUUAGGGGCUGAGCUCCAGGGAAGGGAGCAGGAGGGGGUAUCCUCAGAGGGACCUGGAGAGGAUGAGGAUAGACCAGUGGACAGUAGGGCCAGUUUAAGUGGGGGAGACUGCAAGAGGGACAGUCAAAAGCUAAAACUGGGUCAGGAGCAUUGGGUCAGUUCCCUGAAGCCCUCUGUGGAAGAUAGCUAUGGGCGCCAAGUAAGGGAGGCAGGCUGCAUGCUUCUGGAAUGGUUUCGAUGCCUCUUCCUGGACAGUGACAAUCACAGUUUCUCCUUGCUCGACUCUGGCCUGGCCUUGACCACUGGUGGCCUUACCGUGAAUGCUGGCAGCCAGGAACACCCUGCUCUGCGUGUGGCCUUCCUAACUAUGGUGCCUGUGGUCUCCGAUUGGCAGAAGAUGCUUCAUCACUUCCUCUUCCUUCCACCGGGGCCGGGACUGCUGGUACCCUACGCAGUCCUCUAUGACCGCCAGGGCUCCCUGCUCUACCUUAUGGAGGACCCUGGAGUUCUAAGUAAGGGGGAGGGGGGAAGGGGACCCUGGAGGCUUGGGGAGGAGGGGAGAGAGGAGCAGGGCAUCUAGGGAGUAGCCAAGGAGGCAGCAUGUGGAUGAGAAAAACCUUGGGACUAGAAAUUGGAGACCCUAGGAUGUAGACCUAGGCUGCUUUCCUAGGGGGGUAAGUCUUUUAUUGCUUUCAGAGCCCACUGAGGGGAGGGGGAAGGGGUACUGUGAUUAUAGCCUCUUUCCUGAGAGCCCAGUCACCCAGCAGCCUCAGUUUUAGGCCUUAGACCUCUAGUAAUACCACCUAGCUCAGAGGCUUUGAGAACAUGGGGAGUUGGGUGACACCUGGCCCUAAUGCUACACACAGAAGACAAUCCAGUUUAUCUGACCUUCUCAUCCCACGGGCCUUUCUGGAGGACGGAAUAAAUAGUAAGGUAGAAAGUCUAGCA